This 450-nucleotide ribosomal RNA is filed under the name uncultured bacterium. RNAcentral's name for it is "partial 16S ribosomal RNA". It matches the Rfam family "Bacterial small subunit ribosomal RNA", at positions 354 to 796 of the family's 1533-position model. The record is from RNAcentral.
GUGGGGAAUAUUGGACAAUGGGCGCAAGCCUGAUCCAGCCAUACCGCGUGGGUGAAGAAGGCCUUCGGGUUGUAAAGCCCUUUUGUUGGGAAAGAAAUCCUGUCGGUUAAUACUUGGCGGGGAUGACGGUACCCAAAGAAUAAGCACCGGCUAACUUCGUGCCAGCAGCCGCGGUAAUACGAAGGGUGCAAGCGUUACUCGGAAUUACUGGGCGUAAAGCGUGCGUAGGUGGUGGUUUAAGUCCGUUGUGAAAGCCCUGGGCUCAACCUGGGAAUUGCAGUGGAUACUGGAUCACUAGAGUGUGGUAGAGGGAUGCGGAAUUUCUGGUGUAGCAGUGAAAUGCGUAGAGAUCAGAAGGAACAUCCGUGGCGAAGGCGGCAUCCUGGGCCAACACUGACACUGAGGCACGAAAGCGUGGGGAGCAAACAGGAUUAGAAACCCUGGUAGUCC